This 152-nucleotide non-coding RNA is filed under the name Candidatus Omnitrophota bacterium. RNAcentral's name for it is "Candidatus Omnitrophica bacterium (sediment metagenome) 6S RNA". It matches the Rfam family "6S / SsrS RNA". Rfam says of the family: E. coli 6S RNA was the first non coding RNA to be sequenced, but its function was unknown until recently. It consists of 184 nucleotides that fold into an extended hairpin structure with a large single-stranded internal bulge. Lineage: Bacteria; Pseudomonadati; Candidatus Omnitrophota. The record is from RNAcentral.
AUUUCUCUGCUGUGUUCGUCAGGGGGUAUGUAAUAUUAAACCAAUACAAUAUUACAGGGGAUUGUUGUCUAUCUGGCCCGUGGGCCAAUAGCUUUUCCCCACCUGUUUAUCAGGUUUGAUACGCUACUUCCAACGGCAUAAGCGGAGGCUUA